RNAcentral lists this ribosomal RNA (497 nucleotides) under uncultured bacterium. Its description in RNAcentral is "partial 16S ribosomal RNA". It matches the Rfam family "Bacterial small subunit ribosomal RNA", at positions 28 to 507 of the family's 1533-position model. The record is from RNAcentral.
GAUGAACGCUGGCGGCGUGCCUAAUACAUGCAAGUCGAGCGAACAGACGAGGAGCUUGCUCCUCUGACGUUAGCGGCGGACGGGUGAGUAACACGUGGAUAACCUACCUAUAAGACUGGGAUAACUUCGGGAAACCGGAGCUAAUACCGGAUAAUAUAUUGAACCGCAUGGUUCAAUAGUGAAAGACGGUUUUGCUGUCACUUAUAGAUGGAUCCGCGCCGCAUUAGCUAGUUGGUAAGGUAACGGCUUACCAAGGCAACGAUGCGUAGCCGACCUGAGAGGGUGAUCGGCCACACUGGAACUGAGACACGGUCCAGACUCCUACGGGAGGCAGCAGUAGGGAAUCUUCCGCAACGGGCGAAAGCCUGACGGAGCAACGCCGCGUGAGUGAUGAAGGUCUUCGGAUCGUAAAACUCUGUUAUUAGGGAAGAACAAAUGAGUAAGUAACUAUGCACGUCUUGACGGUACCUAAUCAGAAAGCCACGGCUAACUACGUG